This 253-nucleotide ribosomal RNA is filed under the name uncultured bacterium. Its description in RNAcentral is "partial 16S ribosomal RNA". It matches the Rfam family "Bacterial small subunit ribosomal RNA", at positions 524 to 776 of the family's 1533-position model. The record is from RNAcentral.
UACGGGGGGGGCAAGCGUUGUUCGGAAUUACUGGGCGUAAAGGGCGCGUAGGCGGUCCUACAAGUCCCGCGUGAAAGCCCCCGGCUCAACUGGGGAAUGGCGCGGGAAACCGUAUGGCUAGAGUCCGGAAGAGGAGAGUGGAAUUCCUGGUGUAGCGGUGAAAUGCGCAGAUAUCAGGAAGAACACCAAUGGCGAAGGCAGCUCUCUGGGACGGUACUGACGCUGAGGAGCGAAAGCGUGGGGAGCGAACAGG